CUUACCAUGGAGUGGAGCUGGAUCACUCUUUUCCUCAUGUCACUAACUACAGGUGUCCACUCCCAGCUGCAGCAGUCUGGGCCUGAGCUUGUGAGGCCUGGGACCUCAGUGAAACUGUCCUGCAGAGCCUCUGAUGAUAUCACUUAUUAUUAUAUUAACUGGGUGAAGCAGAGUCCAGGUCAGGGCCUGGAGUGGUUUGCGAGGAUUUAUCCUGGAGAUGGUAAUACUAAAUACAAUGAGAAAUUCCAGGGAAAGGCCACAGUGACUGCAGACACAUCCUCCAACACAGCCUACAUGGAGCUCAGAAGCCUGACAUCUGAAGACUCUGCGGUCUAUUAUUGUGCAAGACACAGUGCUGCAACCACAUCCUGA
Molecule: non-coding RNA, 372 nt
Organism: Microtus ochrogaster (prairie vole)
Lineage: Eukaryota; Metazoa; Chordata; Mammalia; Rodentia; Cricetidae
Source: the annotation of a RefSeq genome assembly